GAUGAACGCUAGCUACAGGCUUAACACAUGCAAGUCGAGGGGAAACGACAUCGAAAGCUUGCUUUUGAUGGGCGUCGACCGGCGCACGGGUGAGUAACGCGUAUCCAACCUGCCCAUCACUUGGGGAUAACCUUGCGAAAGUAAGACUAAUACCCAAUGACGUCUCUAGAAGACAUCUGAAAGAGAUUAAAGAUUUAUCGGUGAUGGAUGGGGAUGCGUCUGAUUAGCUUGUUGGCGGGGUAACGGCCCACCAAGGCAACGAUCAGUAGGGGUUCUGAGAGGAAGGUCCCCCACAUUGGAACUGGGACACGGUCCAAACUCCUACGGGAGGCAGCAGUGAGGAAUAUUGGUCAAUGGGCGAGAGCCUGAACCAGCCAAGUAGCGUGCAGGACGACGGCCCUAUGGGUUGUAAACUGCUUUUAUAAGGGAAUAAAGUGAGUCUCGUGAGACUUUUGCAUGUACCUUAUGAAUAAGGACCGGCUAAUUCCGUA
Molecule: ribosomal RNA, 491 nt
Filed under: uncultured bacterium
Lineage: Bacteria
Description: bacterial SSU rRNA
Rfam family: Bacterial small subunit ribosomal RNA
Source: RNAcentral